Molecule: unclassified non-coding RNA, 307 nt
Filed under: fungal sp.
Lineage: Eukaryota; Fungi
Description: partial internal transcribed spacer region
Rfam family: Eukaryotic small subunit ribosomal RNA (bases 1-46)
Source: RNAcentral
AAGUCGUAACAAGGUUUCCGUAGGUGAACCUGCGGAAGGAUCAUUAACACUAUUUUACAAAAAAAACACUAACGGUGGCUUUUACGAGUCACUUGUUUUUGUUUUUUUUUCCAAACCAAAUACCCAAACUUUAUGAAAGUGCUGGUUGAUUUUUUUUGGCAAUUUGCUAAAAAAAAUCACUUUUUCAUUUUCCCUUUUUUUCAUUAACCCCAAACUCUUUCAUUGCUAAUGCAAAUGACAAUAACAAAAACAAAAUAACUACUUUAACGUAACCAAACAACUCUUAGCAACGGAUAUCUUGGCUCUC